AAUAUAUUUAGGUAUAGCCUCACAAAUUAAGUAACGGGGGUAGAGCUCUGGAUGGGCUAGGGGUCCUACCAGAUUACCAAACCUAACCAAACUCCGAAUACCGCCAACUACUAUUGCAGGAGUCAGACUACGGGAGCUAAGUUCCGUGGUCGCGAGGGAAACAGCCCAGAUCGCCAGCUAAGGUCCCUAAAUGUGCGCUAAGUGGGAAAGGAUGUGGAAAUGCACAGACAACCAGGAGGUUGGCUUAGAAGCAGCCACCCUUUAAAGAAAGCGUAAUAGCUCACUGGUCGAGUGAGUCUGCGCCGAAAAUGUAACGGGGCUUAAGCGCAUUACCGAAGCUGCGGGAGUCCCGCUUUCGGGCGGGGUUCGGUAGGGGAGCAUUCUGUUAGGGCUGAAGGUUGACCGUAAGGACGGCUGAACUUAACAGAAGAGACUAUGCUGACAUGAGUAACGAUAAAGCAGGUGAAAAACCUGCUCGCCGAAAGCCUAAGGUUUCCUGAGUAAAGCUAAUCUGCUCAGGGUUAGUCGAUCCCUAAGCCGAGGCCGAAAGGCGUAGGUAAUGGAAAACAGGUUAAUAUUCCUGUACCACCGGGUUGUCAAUAUCCCUUCGGGGAUGAGAGUGAUUGGGGGGACGCAAAAGGGUAGAUCAGCCAUCUGUUGGAUUAGGUGGUUCAAGCUCGUAGGCUGAAAGAACAGGAAAAUCCAUUCUUUCAUAAAAGCUGAGAAGUGAUGAGGAUCCCGUUUUCGGGAACAAACUGAUCGAUCCCAUGUUGCCAAGAAAAGCCUCUAGCGAGAUAACCAGGUGAUCGUACCACAAACCGACACAGGUAGGCAGGGAGAGAAUCCCAAGGCGCUUGAGAGAACCCUGGUUAAGGAACUCGGCAAAAUAACACCGUAACUUAGGGAGAAGGUGUGCCCUCAUUAGGUGAAGCAACUUGCUUGUGAAGCUGAGGAGGGUCGCAGAGAAAUGGCGGUAGCGACUGUUUACUAAAAACAUAGGACUCUGCUAAGUCGUAAGACGAUGUAUAGGGUCUGACGCCUGCCCGGUGCCGGAAGGUUAAGGGGAUUUGUUAGCCCGCUUUGGCGGGCGAAGCUUUGAACUGAAGCCCCGGUAAACGGCGGCCGUAACUAUAACGGUCCUAAGGUAGCGAAAUUCCUUGUCGGGUAAGUUCCGACCUGCACGAAUGGCGUAACGACUUCCGCACUGUCUCAACCAGGGACUCAGUGAAAUUGAAAUGGCGGUGAAGAUACCGUCUACCCGCGAAAAGACGGAAAGACCCCGGCACCUUUACUACAGCUUGACAUUGGAUUUUGAAAUAGUAUGUGUAGGAUAGGUGGGUGGCAGUGAUCCCGGAUCGCUAGCUCCUGAG
Molecule: ribosomal RNA, 1370 nt
Filed under: marine metagenome
Description: bacterial LSU rRNA
Rfam family: Bacterial large subunit ribosomal RNA
Source: RNAcentral